GCGCAGCAGGCGAGAAACUUUACAAUGUGCGAAAGCACGAUAAGGGAACUCUGAGUGCCUCCUAAGGAGGCUGUUCUGAUGUCUAAAAAGCAACAGAAGUAAGGGCUGGGUAAGACCGGUGCCAGCCGCCGCGGUAACACCGGCAGCCCAAGUGGUAGCCACGUUUAUUGGGUCUAAAGCGUUCGUAGCCGGCCGGGUAAGUUCCUUGGUAAAUUUAGCCGCUUAACGGUUAAGCUUUCAGGGAAUACUGCUUGGCUUGGGACUGGGAGAGGUCAGAGGUACUCCGGGGGUAGGGGUGAAAUCUAUUAAUCCCUGGGGGACCACCGGUAGCGAAGGCGUCUGACCAGACCAGGUCCGACGGUGAGGGACGAAGGCUAGGGGCGCGAACCGGAUUAGAUACCCCUGUAGU
This 409-nucleotide ribosomal RNA is filed under the name uncultured microorganism. RNAcentral's name for it is "bacterial SSU rRNA". It matches the Rfam family "Archaeal small subunit ribosomal RNA", at positions 330 to 745 of the family's 1478-position model. The record is from RNAcentral.